AUUGAACGCUGGCGGCAUGCUUUACACAUGCAAGUCGAACGGCAGCGCGGGCUUCGGCCUGGCGGCGAGUGGCGAACGGGAGAGUAAUGCAUCGGAACGUGCCCAGUAGUGGGGGAUAGCCCGGCGAAAGCCGGAUUAAUACCGCAUACGACCUGAGGGUGAAAGCGGGGGACCGAAAGGCCUCGCGCUAUUGGAGCGGCCGAUGUCGGAUUAGCUAGUUGGUGGGGUAAAGGCUUACCAAGGCGACGAUCCGUAGCUGGUCUGAGAGGACGACCAGCCACACUGGGACUGAGACACGGCCCAGACUCCUACGGGAGGCAGCAGUGGGGAAUUUUGGACAAUGGGGGCAACCCUGAUCCAGCCAUGCCGCGUGCGGGAAGAAGGCCUUCGGGUUGUAAACCGCUUUUGUUCGGGAAGAAAUCCUCUGGGCUAAUACCCCGGGGGGAUGACGGUACCGGAAGAAUAAGCACCGGCUGACUACGUG
This 484-nucleotide ribosomal RNA is filed under the name uncultured bacterium. RNAcentral's name for it is "partial 16S ribosomal RNA". It matches the Rfam family "Bacterial small subunit ribosomal RNA", at positions 28 to 507 of the family's 1533-position model. The record is from RNAcentral.